Non-coding RNA from Cinara cedri, 399 nucleotides. The record is from the annotation of a GenBank genome assembly. Lineage: Eukaryota; Metazoa; Arthropoda; Insecta; Hemiptera; Aphididae.
GACGAACUUCGUUUAGAAGUUAUGGGUGAAAACUUCAUGAAGUUCGGGGUUUCCGUUUAGCAUAUUUCUUAGUAAAAAUUUAGCAUUUCCAAAAUUUUUUUUUCCAAAAUGUGUAUUUUUUAAUGCUUAAUCCAUUGGUAUAAUCCAAAUUUAUCUAUCAUACUUACUUUUAUAGUUUUUGUACAUAAACCUUAAAAAAUAGCAUUUGUGGAAUUAAUCUAAACUGUGGUCAAAAAUAGAUAUUUUUUUAUUAUUAUAAUUUGUAGUUAUUGAUAUUUUGAUAACAAAAUUGUUUUUAUUGAAAUCAGAUUUCAGUCUAUCUGGCUUAGUUUUAGUGUUACAAACGUUCAAAUAUGCAGCGAGCGACUGACCAUAUUAGGUCUCUAAAAAAAACAAUUU